GACGAACGCUGGCGGCGUGCUUAACACAUGCAAGUCGAACGGAAAGGCCCUGCUUGCAGGGUACUCGAGUGGCGAACGGGUGAGUAACACGUGGGUGAUCUGCCCUUCACUUCGGGAUAAGCCUGGGAAACUGGGUCUAAUACCGGAUAGGAGCCAUUUUUAGUGUGAUGGUUGGAAAGUUUUUUCGGUGUAGGAUGAGCUCGCGGCCUAUCAGCUUGUUGGUGGGGUAAUGGCCUACCAAGGCGGCGACGGGUAGCCGGCCUGAGAGGGUGGACGGCCACAAUGGGACUGAGAUACGGCCCAGACUCCUACGGGAGGCAGCAGUGGGGAAUAUUGCACAAUGGGCGCAAGCCUGAUGCAGCGACGCCGCGUGGGGGAUGACGGCCUUCGGGUUGUAAACUCCUUUCGCUAGGGACGAAGCUUUUUGUGACGGUACCUAGAUAAGAAGCACCGGCUAACUACGUG
Molecule: ribosomal RNA, 465 nt
Filed under: uncultured bacterium
Lineage: Bacteria
Description: partial 16S ribosomal RNA
Rfam family: Bacterial small subunit ribosomal RNA
Source: RNAcentral